Long non-coding RNA from Hibiscus syriacus, 169 nucleotides. RefSeq lists it as uncharacterized. The record is from RefSeq and is a predicted model, not a curated record. The transcript is spliced from 3 exons. Lineage: Eukaryota; Viridiplantae; Streptophyta; Magnoliopsida; Malvales; Malvaceae.
GGGAAGAUGAGGAAUUCCAGAAUCCAGUCAUGGAGUUGGAUCAUGUGGCCAAGUUUCUUCAAGGCAAGACCAUACUAAUCACUGGUGCAACUGGAUUUUUGGCCAAAGUCUUUAUCGAGGAAAUACUAAGGCAUCAACCAAAUGUGAAUAAGCUCUAUAUUCUUAUGAG